Non-coding RNA from Malus domestica (apple), 1974 nucleotides. The record is from RefSeq and is a predicted model, not a curated record. Lineage: Eukaryota; Viridiplantae; Streptophyta; Magnoliopsida; Rosales; Rosaceae.
GUUAGUAUUAUAAUAAGAGGGAACUUUUUCAUAAUUUGAAGUAUCUACAAACACCUUACCCUCCAAUCACUGCCACCCACCUUCAAACUCUCUCUCUCUCUCUUCCUCCCUGUCUCUCUCUCUCUCUAAAGAUAUUAGCAAAAAUUGAGAUUCAUUUCUUGAAGCUUGCUAUAGUUUUCUCUUUCCAUUCAUAGCGCAAACACUACACUUUUGUUUUGUUUUCUUUCUUCUCUUUUCUUUGUUGCUCAAAGGGCCGCCAAAGAGAAAAGAAAAAGAAAGGAGAAACCUUUCCCAACUUUUACUUCUCACUCCUCUGAAAUUUAGAGCCUCUCUCACUCCUCUCCCCAAUUGGGGUUUCCCCAUUCUUUUCAGUUUCUCUCUCUUUCCAAAUUGGGAUGUGUUAGAAUUGAAGAAGAAGAAGAACAAGAAGUUGCAGGUACAAGUGAGCUUUCCUCUUUCUGAAAACGUUUUCUGGUUCUCGGUCUAUGAUCUUUGAAGCUUCAAUGGGUUCAGAUCCCAUUAGGGUUAUUGGGGUUUUUGGAUUAGGUGCAAGUUAGGCUAAUUUAAGUUUCUUGAUUUGGAAAGAUAUUUGUUUGGAUUUCGAAAAGUUGGGUUCUUUUUAGAUUCCUCAGAAAAAAAGUAUUCUGAUUCCUUUCAAAAUGCCCCUUGAUUUAACACUCAUUUCAUCCCUCUGAAACCUCCACCCUCUCUCUAUCUCUCUCUGCAUUCCCUCUUAAGGGUUCUCCUUCCCCUGCUCUGUUUCUUCAAAUCCUUCGAGUUUUUCGGUAUGCGAGCGUGAAUUGGAGCUCUUUAAUUCGAUAGUAUGAAGUUUGAGAUGGAGAUUCUGUCCCCUUCGUCCUAUUUUUCGACUUCGAAUAGGCUUGUCGAAGAGAGCAAGGGCGCGAGAUGGACUCCGGCGGAAAACAAAAUGUUCGAAAACGCCCUGGCGUUGUACGACAAGGACGCGCCGGACCGAUGGCACAAGGUGGCGGAGAUGAUACCGGGGAAGACGGUGAGGGACGUGAUGAAGCAGUACGAGGAAUUGGAACUUGAUGUUGGCAAUAGAAGCAGGGCUUAUUCCGAUUCCGGGAUACAGCCCCUCUCCAUUCACAUUGGAGUGGGUGAACAGACACGGUGGCUAUGAUGGGUUCAAACAGCAGUCUUAUGGGAUUGGCGGCAAGAGAUCUUCGUCGAAUCGCCCUUCGGAUCACGAAAGAAAGAAAGGGGUUCCGUGGACCGAAGAAGAACACAAGCUGUUCCUAAUGGGACUGAAGAAGUAUGGCAAGGGGGACUGGAGGAACAUCUCGAGGAAUUGUGGUGACACGAACACCGACUCAGGUCGCUAGUCAUGCACAGAAGUACUUCAUCAGGCAGCUUUCCGGGGGGAAGGAUAAGCGAAGAGCCAGCAUCCAUGACAUAACAACUGUCAAUCUCAACGACAUGAGAACUCCGUCUCCAGACAACAAAAGUCCUCUCUCUCCAGAGCUGCCUCAGCAUCCGAAUUCUGCUGCCACCGCUAGGGCUCCAUUUCAGUGGCAUCAGCCGCAAGGCGGUGGAGUAAACUUGGGUUUUAAUCAAGGGCAUGGAAAUAUGUUCAUGUCCUCCCAUCCUUAUGGGAUUAGUUCAUACGGACAAAAAAUGCAGGGGCAGGAUCUGCAGCACAAAGGUGCUGCUAAUAACUUGUACUAUGGACCGCAAAAUUUGGGUUUUCAGAUGCAAUCCUCGCAGCACUACCCGCACGGAUGAUCUAUCAAUGGCAGUUCUCCUGUCCUCAAUCCUCUGCAGCUUCAUAUGCCAUUAUGGUCCUUUAGUUCAUUAGUGUAGCUUGAUCCGACCCUUUUUUUUUCAUGGUUUAAUGUAAAUAUGUUGUUCACAACUUUGAGUUAGCCAAGCAGUAUUUGAGGGGAACAGGAUUCAAGUUUUUUCUUGGAAUUUCAAAUUAUGAAAUAUGAAACUGAGUUGAAGUAUCUCAAA